GGAGGAGGACGUGAUGACGUGAGACGCCGCACGUGCUUUAGGUGGGCGUGUCCGGAGGGAGGUUGAGGAGAGAGGACGCGGAGUCGAGAGUAAGCAAUGCCGCUCCGUGCCGAUUUGUGAGUGUGGUCCGGCUUAGACGAAGUGGAGGGAGGGCUCGGUUCGGUGAAGAUUUGGUGGGUCGGUGGACCUGGUCUGACGUGGUGGUGUAUGCCGGUUUUUGCUGGGGGUUUGUUGCCUCCGUUUUUGGGCAAAUAGUGGCAAAUAGUGGCGAUUCCCUUAUAGACCGUUAAAAAGGUCAAGGAAGAAAUAAAAACAGUUCCUGUAUAAAUUAUCAAACAAAAAACGAAAAAAAA
Non-coding RNA from Pelobates cultripes (western spadefoot toad), 353 nucleotides. NCBI's taxonomy places the organism in Eukaryota, Metazoa, Chordata, Amphibia, Anura, Pelobatidae. The record is from the annotation of a GenBank genome assembly.